AGGAGUAGGAGAGGGGAGGGGAGUAAAAUAUGCCAACUGAUAAGAUGCCUUUAAAAUGUGUCUACUAAUUGAUAAGAGACAAGCUCAGACUCGUCCUGUGGUGAUGUAUAUUGGCUGCAUCUUGUGACCAUGACGAA
Long non-coding RNA from Amblyraja radiata (thorny skate), 137 nucleotides. RefSeq lists it as uncharacterized. The record is from RefSeq and is a predicted model, not a curated record. The transcript has 4 exons. Lineage: Eukaryota; Metazoa; Chordata; Chondrichthyes; Rajiformes; Rajidae.